AUUGAACGCUGGCGGCAGGCCUAACACAUGCAAGUCGAGCGGAGCGGCGGACGGGUGAGUAAUGCCUAGGAAUCUGCCUGGUAGUGGGGGAUAACGUCCGGAAACGGGCGCUAAUACCGCAUACUAUCAGAUGAGCCUAGGUCGGAUUAGCUAGUUGGUGGGGUAAAGGCCUACCAAGGCGACGAUCCGUAACUGGUCUGAGAGUAUGGUCAGUAACACUGGAACUGAGACACGGUCCAGACUACGACGGGAGGCAGCAGUGGGGAAAAUUGGACAAUGGGAGAAAGCCUGAUCCAACCAUGCCGCGUGUGUGAAGAAGGUAUGCGGAUUGUAAAGGACAUUAAGUUGGGAGGAGGUACCAACAGAAUAAGCACCGGCUAACUUCGUGCCAGCAGCCGCGGUAAUUC
Molecule: ribosomal RNA, 407 nt
Filed under: uncultured bacterium
Lineage: Bacteria
Description: partial 16S ribosomal RNA
Rfam family: Bacterial small subunit ribosomal RNA
Source: RNAcentral